Molecule: ribosomal RNA, 253 nt
Filed under: uncultured bacterium
Lineage: Bacteria
Description: partial 16S ribosomal RNA
Rfam family: Bacterial small subunit ribosomal RNA
Source: RNAcentral
UACGGAGGGUGCAAGCGUUGUUCGGAAUUACUGGGCGUAAAGCGCGUGUAGGCGGUCAGGCAAGUCAGAUGUGAAAGCCUUUCGCUUAACGGAAGAACUGCAUUUGAAACUACCUGGCUGGAGUUCGGGAGAGGAGAGUGGAAGUCCCGGUGUAGAGGUGAAAUUCGUAGAUAUCGGGAGGAACACCGGUGGCGAAGGCGGCUCUCUGGCCCGAUACUGACGCUGAGACGCGAAAGCGUGGGGAGCAAACAGG